UUUUAUGUUCGCUGAUCUGCUCCCGUGUCAAAUAUUGUCACACAUAUUGAGCAAGCAAAUGGCAUUUUAAGUCAAUAACCGCAGGACUUUACCAUAACCAGAAACCAUCAGUUCUUAAUUCCCAGACUUCCUUGUCUGGGACUAAAAGACGUCACCCUCCUCUUCCUCUCUACCAGGAGCGAUCCCUUACCCUGCGGUGCCGGCCACCUUCAUCAGCUCGUCUUUGGAUAGGCCCGUGAACUUGACCUCCUCUUCGGGGACCUUGAUCUUCACCGUGCCGUUCUUCUCAGCCGCCACGGCGCCGUCGGCGGUCAUGGGCUGCGUCUCCGAAU
Long non-coding RNA from Gadus macrocephalus (Pacific cod), 332 nucleotides. RefSeq lists it as uncharacterized. Lineage: Eukaryota; Metazoa; Chordata; Actinopteri; Gadiformes; Gadidae. The record is from RefSeq and is a predicted model, not a curated record. The transcript is spliced from 2 exons.